AGAGCGAACGCUGGCGGCAGGCCUAACACAUGCAAGUCGAACGGACUCUUCGGAGUUAGCGGCGGACGGGUGAGUAACACGUGGGAACGUGCCUUUUGGUUCGGAAUAGCUCCUGGAAACGGGUGGUAAUGCCGAAUGUGCCCUUCGGGGGAAAGAUUUAUCGCCAUUAGAGCGGCCCGCGUCUGAUUAGCUAGUUGGUGAGGUAAAGGCUCACCAAGGCGACGAUCAGUAGCUGGUCUGAGAGGAUGACCAGCACAUUGGGACUGAGACACGGCCCAAACUCCUACGGGAGGCAGCAGUGGGGAAUCUUGCGCAAUGGCGAAAGCCUGACGCAGCCAUGCCGCGUGAAUGAUGAAGUCGUUAGAUUAGUAAAAUUCUUCACCGGGACGAAUAAUGACGGUACCCGAGAAGAAGCCCGGCUAACUUCGUGUCCAGCAGCCGC
This 442-nucleotide ribosomal RNA is filed under the name uncultured soil bacterium. Its description in RNAcentral is "bacterial SSU rRNA". It matches the Rfam family "Bacterial small subunit ribosomal RNA", at positions 26 to 518 of the family's 1533-position model. The record is from RNAcentral.